CUUACACAUGCAAGUCGAGGGGAACGACAUCGAAAGCUUGCUUUUGAUGGGCGUCGACCGGCGCACGGGUGAGUAACGCGUAUCCAACCUGCCCACCACUUGAGGAUAACCUUGCGAAAGUAAGACUAAUACCCAAUGAUAUCUCUAGAAGACAUCUGAAGGAGAUUAAAGAUUUAUUGGUGAUGGAUGGGGAUGCGUCUGAUUAGCUUGUUGGCGGGGUAACGGCCCACCAAGGCUACGAUCAGUAGGGGUUCUGAGAGGAAGGUCCCCCACAUUGGAACUGAGACACGGUCCAAACUCCUACGGGAGGCAGCAGUGAGGAAUAUUGGUCAAUGGACGAGAGUCUGAACCAGCCAAGUAGCGUGCAGGAUGACGGCCCUAUGGGUUGUAAACUGCUUUUAUAAGGGAAUAAAGUGAGUCUCGUGAGACUUUUUGCAUGUACCUUAUGAAUAAGGACCGGCUAAUUCCGUGCCAGCAGCCGCGGUAAUACGGAAGGUCCGGGCGUUAUCCGGAUUUAUUGGGUUUAAAGGGAGCGUAGGCCGGAGAUUAAGCGUGUUGUGAAAUGUAGAUGCUCAACAUCUGCACUGCAGCGCGAACUGGUUUCCUUGAGUACGCACAAAGUGGGCGGAAUUCGUGGUGUAGCGGUGAAAUGCUUAGAUAUCACGAAGAACUCCGAUUGCGAAGGCAGCUCACUGGAGCGCAACUGACGCUGAAGCUCGAAAGUGCGGGUAUCGAACAGGAUUAGAUACCCUGGUAGUCCGCACGG
This 766-nucleotide ribosomal RNA is filed under the name uncultured bacterium. Its description in RNAcentral is "bacterial SSU rRNA". It matches the Rfam family "Bacterial small subunit ribosomal RNA", at positions 48 to 802 of the family's 1533-position model. The record is from RNAcentral.